CAACUUUAACAAUCAGUAAAAAAUAACUUAUUCAGCUAAGUUCAGUUCUGAUAAAAUGAAAAAAGUGCUUUUUUAUUUGUUUGUUUGAAUUCCCAGGAAUCAAUCACCCAAUCAGUCAACAAGGAAGUGAUGUUCAGUCUCGUGAAUAGCUCCAACUCUUCAGCUCUCCAGAUUUUCCUGUCCCUUAAUGGUUUCUGCAAUGACGUUUUUGGCAGAAGCUUCCAAUUCUCCGUUGAACUGGUCACCCAACAUCCGAAGGCGACCAGCAAUGAUAGCCACAUCAAAAGAACAAGGCUCUCCUGAAUCUACUUCAUCUACACAGCAUAGGUUCCGGCUGGCAACCUGCAAUGUUGGGCUCAAGAAGUCCAUGAG
Molecule: long non-coding RNA, 372 nt
Filed under: Homo sapiens (human)
Lineage: Eukaryota; Metazoa; Chordata; Mammalia; Primates; Hominidae
Description: LNC_000136
Source: RNAcentral